This 491-nucleotide ribosomal RNA is filed under the name uncultured bacterium. RNAcentral describes it as "partial 16S ribosomal RNA". The record is from RNAcentral.
GUAGUUAGCCGUGGCUUCCUCCUUAGGUACCGUCAUCUACUCGUCCCCUACAACAGAGGUUUACGAUCCGAAAACCUUCUUCCCUCACGCGGCGUUGCUGGGUCAGGCUUUCGCCCAUUGCCCAAUAUUCCCCACUGCUGCCUCCCGUAGGAGUCUGGACCGUUUCUCAGUUCCAAUGUGGCCGGUCAUCCUCUCAGAUCGGCUACCCAUCGUUGACUUGGUGGGCCGUUACCUCACCAACUAUCUAAUGGGACGCGAGCUCACCCUUCCGCGGAUUCCUCCUUUGACCCCUUCGGCAUGCGCCUUCGUGGUCUUAUGCGGUAUUAGCAACUGUUUCCAGUUGUUAUCCCCCUCGGAAGGACAGAUUGCUCACGCGUUACGCACCCGUCCGCCACUAGGCUACCUUCUGAUUGCUCUUCCAAUAGCCCCGUUCGACUUGCAUGUGUUAAGCACGCCGCCAGCGUUCGUCCUGAGCCAGAAUCAAACUCUGA